RNAcentral lists this ribosomal RNA (112 nucleotides) under Paenibacillus sp. F4. RNAcentral describes it as "partial 23S ribosomal RNA". It matches the Rfam family "Bacterial large subunit ribosomal RNA", at positions 2809 to 2925 of the family's 2925-position model. The record is from RNAcentral. Lineage: Bacteria; Bacillati; Bacillota; Bacilli; Caryophanales; Paenibacillaceae.
AUUUCCCAAUUAGUAAGACCCCUUGAAGACGACGAGGUAGAUAGGUUGGGGGUGGAAGUGCAGUAAUGCAUGGAGCUGACCAAUACUAAUCGGUCGAGGGCUUAUCCUAAAA